Herpailurus yagouaroundi (jaguarundi) is the source of this 525-nucleotide long non-coding RNA. RefSeq lists it as uncharacterized. The transcript is spliced from 2 exons. NCBI's taxonomy places the organism in Eukaryota, Metazoa, Chordata, Mammalia, Carnivora, Felidae. The record is from RefSeq and is a predicted model, not a curated record.
GGGGCCCGUGAUUUCCUCUGACUUCCCGAUUCUGGUUCUCUCAGUAUGGAGCUGAAGCGGUCCGUCCUCCUCUGGAGUAAAAAUACAAACAGAGUUCUUUACAUCUCUUAACAGAGUCAACCCGCUUCUACUAGCUUACCCAGUACCUGCUACCUCUGGCUCACCUAUACAUCACUCUUGCCGCUGACUGGAUCCAGAGUACGCAGAAACACUGCAACCCCUUUAAACACAGGAAACAGAGGCAGACACACAGGACACAGGAGAGUCAAGAAGCUACCAGAGCGGACUCCUGGGUGACAGACGCCUCCUGAGAAGGUCCUCUCUCCUGACCCUCUUACAUCGCCACUGCAAUCAACGAAGACAACUGGAACACUACCUACCUGAGCUCCCUAAGCAACAGGUUUAAAUUAAGGUUUAAUUUAAAUUAAGGUUUAAAUUAAGGAUCCACAAGAAAAUAGGGGGAAAAAAAAAUCAUACAAAAACCAUUCCUGUAUUUGGCCAUUUAAAAAAGCCAACAUUAAAUUG